CCUUUAUUACCUAAAAACCCUUAAACAAUAUUGAGUAAUUCUAUACUUAUAUAGAAGAUUUUAUGUUAAAACUAGUAACAAGAAGUAGCACUUCUUUCACAAUGCAAAUGUAAAUCAGAAAGGACGCGCCACUGAUAACUAACAUUAAUGAAAUAAAAGUAGUAACUUAACAAGAAAAUUCUACUACACCCCAUGUUAACCUAACACCAGAGCAUUACAAAAAAGAUUAAAAGAAAAAGAAGGAACUCGGCAAAUAUUAACCUCGCCUGUUUACCAAAAACAUCGCCUCUUGAAUAAAUAUAAGAGGUCCAGCCUGCCCAGUGACUCUGUUCAACGGCCGCGGUAUCCUAACCGUGCGAAGGUAGCGUAAUCACUUGUUCUUUAAAUGAGGACUAGUAUGAAUGGCACCACGAAGGUUAUACUGUCUCCUUUUUCUAAUCAGUGAAACUAAUCUCCCCGUGAAGAAGCGGAGAUAAACAUAUAAGACGAGAAGACCCUAUGGAGCUUUAAACUUCAUUAACACUUGCACUAAUCAAUGCAAAUUUCAGAAAAAUACAUAUUAUUCAUGCAAGAUGAUUAUCAGUUUUAGGUUGGGGUGACCGCGGAGAAAAAAAUAACCUCCACAUUGAAAGGAAUUUUAAUCCUUAGCUAAGAGCUACAUCUCUAUGCACCACCAAAGUGACAUUAAUUGACCCAACAAUUUGAUCAACGAACCAAGUUACCCUAGGGAUAACAGCGCAAUCCACUUCAAGAGCUCCUAUCGACAAGUGGGUUUACGACCUCGAUGUUGGAUCAGGGUAU
Molecule: ribosomal RNA, 801 nt
Filed under: Vitreorana baliomma
Lineage: Eukaryota; Metazoa; Chordata; Amphibia; Anura; Centrolenidae
Description: partial large subunit ribosomal RNA
Rfam family: Bacterial large subunit ribosomal RNA
Source: RNAcentral